RNAcentral lists this long non-coding RNA (1428 nucleotides) under Oryctolagus cuniculus (rabbit). RNAcentral's name for it is "lncRNA (ENSOCUG00000034275.1)". Lineage: Eukaryota; Metazoa; Chordata; Mammalia; Lagomorpha; Leporidae. The record is from RNAcentral.
CUGGAUUUCUACGGCUGCAUAACAGACAGUCACCAACUCCGGAGCUGCGUCCACAGGGUGGAUUAUCCUCUGGUCUGGUGUGGGUGGGCUCGGGACCGGCGAGGGGUCUGCGUCAGGGUGUCAGCCGGGCUGGACUCCUCCCGUGCUCUCAUGCCGAUGGAACGAUUCUCAUCCGUGCAGCUGUGGGGCAGGCGGCGCUGCUUCUUCAAGCCCUCGACGAUGUCUCUGGCUUCUAGAACAUUCUAAAGGGCUCACCUGCUGAGCCCAGGCCCACCCCGAUCUCCGUUUGCGAUCCCUCCAGUCAACUGAUUCAGGAUAUGAUUCCAAGUGCAGAAAUCAACCUUGUCCCUGGGCCACACCCCCCACACGCAGGCGUGGAGACCCCUGGGGCAGGGGGGCUGGCGGCCAGCCGGGAGCUCCACCAGCCGCACCCCCCCAGCACAGAGCCCAGGUGGCCCCUCGGUUAUGGGACAACGUGGAGGUGUGCUCCUGGCCUCUUCCACCGAGCCAGGCCCUUCCUGGGGCUGACGGCACUGCUGGUCACCUGCGGGGCUCGCGAGGGCAGCCCAGGCCCGUUUCCCUGGGGGUCUGGCGUGGGGCAGCCCCACGCCCGCUCCUUCAUCCACUCAGCUCCUUACAGCGCCCAGCCCAGCCCCCGGUGGCCUGGAGUGCGGCCUUGGCUGUAGGACAUGGUGACAGCCCCCGUGUGACCCAGCGCCGGUGCCUGCUGCCCCCCCAUACCCGCAGCCUGGGGCAGGAGCCACGGCCACGCCCAUUUCAUGCUCGGUCAGUGGAGGCCCAACACAGACCUCCAGACUGGGUCCCGCGGUCUGGCUCUUUCCAUAUUUGCCUUUGUCUUCUGUCGUCCCUGGAGCCCCUGGGCUGGAAGGGGCCGGCUGAAGACCCCUCCCUGCCCCCACCGUGCUGUGUGGCCUGGAGCGAGCCCCUGGCCCCUCCGUUUGGACCAUCGGAUGGAUUUCCUGGAGCUCCUGUAACCAGGCGCCACCACGGGGCCCUAAACACCGCACAGAAUGACAGCAAUGGUGGCAGCGUCGCCCAGGGCGGCCUCCUGCCGCAGAGGCUCAUGGCCAGGCCAGGGCGGGGCCGCGGGGGCUGCGAGGCGCGUCCAGGCGUCUCCCCCAACCCGUGUGUGUGUGUGCAUGUGUGCACGUGUGUUGGUGUGUGUGUCUGUGUCCGUGUGUGUCUCUGUGUCUGUGUCAGUCUGUGUGCACACGCAUGUCUCUGUCCCAGUGUCCCUUUCCUGGAAGGCCCCUGCUUGUGUGGUCUGGGGUCCGAGCCAGCCGCUCUAGGGUUGACUGGUCACCCUCAGCCCUGGCAGGCAGGGUUCCAGCAGAGGUGGGGGCGCCCAGGGCACCCCCACAGCGGCCACAGCGCCACCUCCCGUAGGCCGUCUCCAGGCUGUCCCUC